UACGGAGGGGGCUAGCGUUAUUCGGAAUUACUGGGCGUAAAGCGCACGUAGGCGGCUUUGUAAGUAAGAGGUGAAAGCCCGGAGCUCAACUCCGGAACUGCCUUUUAGACUGCAUCGCUUGAAUCCAGGAGAGGUGAGUGGAAUUCCGAGUGUAGAGGUGAAAUUCGUAGAUAUUCGGAAGAACACCAGUGGCGAAGGCGGCUCACUGGACUGGUAUUGACGCUGAGGUGCGAAAGCGUGGGGAGCAAACAGGGAUUAAGAAACCCGAG
This 269-nucleotide ribosomal RNA is filed under the name uncultured bacterium. RNAcentral's name for it is "partial 16S ribosomal RNA". It matches the Rfam family "Bacterial small subunit ribosomal RNA", at positions 524 to 791 of the family's 1533-position model. The record is from RNAcentral.